RNAcentral lists this transfer RNA (77 nucleotides) under Erysipelothrix sp. RNAcentral describes it as "tRNA-Arg". It matches the Rfam family "tRNA". Rfam says of the family: Transfer RNA (tRNA) molecules are approximately 80 nucleotides in length. Their secondary structure includes four short double-helical elements and three loops (D, anti-codon, and T loops). Lineage: Bacteria; Bacillati; Bacillota; Erysipelotrichia; Erysipelotrichales; Erysipelotrichaceae. The record is from RNAcentral.
GUCCCAGUAGCUCAGUUGGAUAGAGCACGAGCCUUCUAAGCCCGGGGUCAGGAGUUCGAGCCUCUUCUGGGACGCCA